RNAcentral lists this unclassified non-coding RNA (181 nucleotides) under uncultured Eurotiales. RNAcentral's name for it is "sequence contains ITS2". Lineage: Eukaryota; Fungi; Ascomycota; Eurotiomycetes; Eurotiales. The record is from RNAcentral.
CUGCCCUCAAGCACGGCUUGUGUGUUGGGCCCCCGUCCCCCUGUUCUAGGGGGGGACGGGCCCGAAAGGCAGCGGCGGCACCGUGUCCGGUCCUCGAGCGUAUGGGAAGCAACUUUUUGUCACCCGCUCCUGUAGGCCCGGCCGGCGGCCUGCCCAACCCCCAUCAAUCUUUUUUUAACCA